Pseudopipra pipra is the source of this 986-nucleotide long non-coding RNA. RefSeq lists it as uncharacterized. The record is from RefSeq and is a predicted model, not a curated record. NCBI's taxonomy places the organism in Eukaryota, Metazoa, Chordata, Aves, Passeriformes, Pipridae. The transcript has 2 exons.
AAACCUCCAGCCCUUUCUUUUGGAGCCACACGAGGGGUUUGGCUGAGGUUUGAACUCAGAGGUUCACGACAGGGAGUUUGCCCAAACCAGUUGCAUCGAUGCAAACCCAACUCUUUCCCUGCUGAUUUCCUCUUUGCAGUUCCUGCUAUUUUUUCAGCCUAUGGAAAUGUCUAAUUUUUUUAUAAAUCAAAAGAAUCAGAGAGAUUCCUCCUCUCCCCCCUCCCUUUACCUACCCAGAUUUUUAUUUUUACUGUUUUUAGUGAAUUCUUUUCUAUUUUCUUCAGCUUUAAGAGCCACAGGUCCAUCCAGAUAAUUGCCUUUAUUGAAAAAAAAAAAGGCAAACGUUGGAUGAACUGUGCUCAGAUAAAACUGAUAUCAGCGUGGAAGGGAAACUUCCCAAGCCUGAGAUGAGGGCUUUGAUCUUCCAUCAGAGAGCCCAUCUGGAAAAAAUUAUUUUGUUGUUCUUCUGGGAGAUGGGUUUUACAUUUUGUUUGCUUCAUCUGUUUACAAGGGGGAGGUUUAUACAAAACUCCAAGCUUUUAAAAAGUAACCAGUGAAGUCUCAGAUUGAACCGAAGUCAAGAGAUUUUUUUUUUGCUGAGCAACGUGUUCAAACUCAGAUAUUGUUAAUAUUUAAUUAUUUCUUUUUUUCAGACAGGACUUCCUUAAAAAAUAAAAUCAGUUGGCUCGUGCUGGUUUCAAAGCAACAUCCCAAUUGCAGGGAAUGGACUCCAGCAGGAACAAAAAGACCCAGCACAAAGCCUGUAAUGUUCUGAGCUGCAGCAUCACCUGAUUGUUAAUCACAAGAGACAUGGUUUUGUCCUGUGCCUAACCCAGCCCUCGUGGGAUCCUGGUCCAUAAACCAGCUCCAAGGGCAAUAAACGCACGAACAACAGUAAAAAGAUGCAGAAAAAGCCACAGCAGCUGCCACAGAGGAAGCAAGACCUUGUCAUGGAUUUACUAAACACUGAAAAGCCUCCCCUGGAA